Molecule: ribosomal RNA, 172 nt
Filed under: uncultured eukaryote
Lineage: Eukaryota
Description: partial 18S ribosomal RNA
Rfam family: Eukaryotic small subunit ribosomal RNA (bases 33-172)
Source: RNAcentral
GGGAAACUCACCAGGUCCAGACAUAGGAAGGAUUGACAGAUGGAGUGAUUUGUCUGCUUAAUUGCGAUAACGAACGAGACCUCUACUUACUAAAUAGCAGAGGGAACAACUGUUCCUUCAGGCUUCUUAGCAGAACUUCGUAUGUCUAAUACGAGGAAGUUGGAGGCAAUAA